Molecule: ribosomal RNA, 476 nt
Filed under: uncultured bacterium
Lineage: Bacteria
Description: partial 16S ribosomal RNA
Rfam family: Bacterial small subunit ribosomal RNA
Source: RNAcentral
GAUGAACGCUGGCGGCGUGCUUAACACAUGCAAGUCGAGCGAGUGAGUUCUUCGGAACGAUCUAGCGGCGGACGGGUGAGUAACACGUGGGCAACCUGCCUCAUAGAGGGGAAUAGCCUCCCGAAAGGGAGAUUAAUACCGCAUAAAAUUAUCGAGUGGCAUCACAUGAUAAUCAAAGGAGUAAUCCGCUAUGAGAUGGGCCCGCGGCGCAUUAGCUAGUUGGUGAGGUAACGGCUCACCAAGGCGACGAUGCGUAGCCGACCUGAGAGGGUGAUCGGCCACAUUGGGACUGAGACACGGCCCAGACUCCUACGGGAGGCAGCAGUGGGGAAUAUUGCACAAUGGGGGAAACCCUGACGCAGCAACGCCGCGUGAGUGAUGAAGGUCUUCGGAUUGUAAAGCUCUGUCUUUGGGGACGAUAAUGACGGUACCCAAGGAGGAAGCCACGGUUAACAACGUGCCAGCCGCCGCAGUAA